RNAcentral lists this ribosomal RNA (320 nucleotides) under Cryptosporidium andersoni. RNAcentral describes it as "SSU rRNA". It matches the Rfam family "Eukaryotic small subunit ribosomal RNA", at positions 547 to 896 of the family's 1831-position model. Lineage: Eukaryota; Apicomplexa; Conoidasida; Eucoccidiorida; Cryptosporidiidae. The record is from RNAcentral.
AUUGGAGGGCAAGUCUGGUGCCAGCAGCCGCGGUAAUUCCAGCUCCAAUAGCGUAUAUUAAAGUUGUUGCAGUUAAAAAGCUCGUAGUUGGAUUUCUGUUGUAUAAUUUUAUAAUAUUACCAAGGUAAUUAUUAUAUUAUCAACAUCCUUCCUAUUAUAUUCUAAAUAUAUAGGAAAUUUUACUUUGAGAAAAUUAGAGUGCUUAAAGCAGGCAACUGCCUUGAAUACUCCAGCAUGGAAUAAUAAGUAAGGACUUUUGUCUUUCUUAUUGGUUCUAGGACAAAAGUAAUGGUUAAUAGGGACAGUUGGGGGCAUUCGUA